UCGUGGUGUGAACUGUCUGCUUAAUUGCGUUAACGAACGAGAUCAAAACAUGAUAAAUAGAGAUUGCGACGCGAGCUGGAGUUGCUCGACGGCGUGUGUGGGCAAGCGUGUAACAGCGUUUGUUGCGCUGCGCUAGUGACGGCGGAUUGCUGCCGGGAUUCCAACUACACUACUUGAUCGUUUGCAGUUUGCCUGAACAGCUAAUUUAUCCUUUCG
This 216-nucleotide ribosomal RNA is filed under the name uncultured eukaryote. RNAcentral describes it as "partial 18S ribosomal RNA". The record is from RNAcentral.